Melitaea cinxia (Glanville fritillary) is the source of this 591-nucleotide long non-coding RNA. RefSeq lists it as uncharacterized. The record is from RefSeq and is a predicted model, not a curated record. The transcript is spliced from 2 exons. NCBI's taxonomy places the organism in Eukaryota, Metazoa, Arthropoda, Insecta, Lepidoptera, Nymphalidae.
UUUUUUUAAAAAGUGGCUGUUUUUCCCCAUACAUUAUUACUAUGGGCGCGCGCAUUCGCAACUAAUUCACGACGCGCGCUUCUAAAAAUUCAGUCGCUCAGCAGAGCUCAAGGAGUGGUCACGUCAGUUUGCCGAGCGACGCUUCCUAAAUAUUCAUCGCGAUCUAGCUUGUGCGUAUACAGCGGCACAAAGCCAAAGGGAUUGAAAAUGGGGAAGCGAAAAGACAAAUAUUUUACGAAAAAAGUGUAAAACUUUUUUUAUUUUGAUUGUUUGCUUCCAGAAUUCAUUGACUCUAGGUUAGAUAGACAAAUGGAAAUUAAAGAACCAGACUAUAUUCUUAAUGCAAUAAAGGAAAGAGAAAUAAUAAAAAAACGAAAAGCAACUAAAGAACAAGAACAAAUAAGAAGUAAAGAAUCACAAAUAACAUACCGAAAAAUAUAAUAUAUAAAAAUGAUAUUGAUAUUAAAUAAAUACUUGAUUUUAAAUCUUGUUUCAUUAUUUAAUAUUUCUACAUAUAUAACCUUCGUUUGAAAAAGUUAUCAAAUACUAAUUUCUGUUUUAAUAACAAAAAAAUAUUUAUUAUUAAACUGA